Sorex araneus (European shrew) is the source of this 3874-nucleotide long non-coding RNA. RefSeq lists it as uncharacterized. NCBI's taxonomy places the organism in Eukaryota, Metazoa, Chordata, Mammalia, Eulipotyphla, Soricidae. The record is from RefSeq and is a predicted model, not a curated record. The transcript has 3 exons.
UGGGCACCCAGCGGAGACUGGGCAUUCUCCCUCCCUGUGGGUGCUCGCCAUCCAACCGGCUCCGGAGCCCCCACGCCCUCAGGACCGCCCACACCGGAACCCUGAGCCCCCAGCAGGGACCAGCAGGCCCGGCUGGCCCAGGACUGCCCAGAGCACCCCCUGAGCACUGCUCUGAAGUACCCCCUAAAAGGCAACUGAGGAAGGCAGAGAAGCCAGACAGCAACUAAGCCACAACGCCCCAAAGCAGAGAGAGAGGAGCACUGUAGCACUGUCAUCCCAUUGCUCAUCGAUUUGUUCAAGCGGGCACCAGUAACGUCUCCAUUGUGAGACUUGUUGUUACUGUUUUUGGCAUAUCAAAUAUGCCACGGGGAGCUUGCCAGGCUCUGAGAGAGACGGAGGAUUCGAACCCAGGUCGGCCGCGUGCAAGCGAGCAGACGCCAUUGGCCUACACUAGCACACGACAGAGACAAACGAAGACGUUACUGGCGCCUGCUCGAGCAAGUCGACGAACAACGGGACAACAGUGAUACAGUGAUAAAGCAAUUCAGGUUUCAGUGUUGCCUGGAAACAGGGAUGGAAAGUAUCAUGCUGGAAGCUACAGUUGCAGGGCAGAGAUAUUUCUGGAUUCUACCCCUCACUCCACCUAAAACCAGACAAAGACCGCCAACUGUCAGUGAAGAUGGAGUGCCCGGGGCUGGAGCGAUGGCACAGCAGGUAGGGCGUUUGCCUUGCAUGUGGCCAUCCUGGGUUCAAUCCUCGGCAUCCCAUAAAGUCCCCUGAGCACUGCCGGGGGUAAUUUCUGAGUGCAGAGCCAGAAGUAACCCCUGAGCAUUGCCAGGGUUACUUUUAGCUCCCCCCCUUCCCCUACCCCCACAAGCAUUGUUUUGUGUGGCCCCAAAACAAAACACAGAAAGAUGAUGUGACCUUAAAUUGGUAAGCACUCAAAUUCAUUCACAUUUAUAUUAACCAAAGGCUAGUCAUGCUAGCAAGUCUCACAAUGGAGACGUUACUGGUGCCCGCUCGAGCAAAUUGAUGAACAAUGGGAGGACAGUGCUACAGUAAUGCUAAAGGAAGCCAGUGACAUACAAAAUCAAGCGCUACUGGUCACGCGGUUUGAUUUUCACUGAACAAGGAACUAGACUAAGUGAACUCCCUUCCCGUCCCCAAACAGGUUCAUUUCACUUACUUAUCGGAGCAUUUCAAUGAUCCGAACAUUCUAACUACGAACACACGUAGGCUAGAACACAGACAAACUGGAGUGUGAAAAUAAACACAGUUCAACGGUCACUGUGAUGUACGCGGGGGCUCCCAGCUACCCCAGCCCAAGGGUCUGGGGGGGCUGGACUGGAUGCAAACGCUUCUGAAUACAGAUCAGGGGUCUGCUGUGGAGAGACCCGCUGCUCGGAGCACGGCACGGAAGAGGCGCAUCAGUGGCCAGCCCUCGGCCCUGACCCCGGGCAGCCGCCCAGGACAGACAUUGGCACACGGCGCCGAGGAGGGUGUGGGUGCUGUCCUGGCUGCCAGGAUGUCUCCUGGGAAACGGUCCGCCAAGAAAGAAGCGGACAGGAAGGCAACGGAAUCAAAGGCGGGAGUAGCUCGGGCUGAGGGAGACUUCGGGGGGCUGGUCCUCGGGAGGGGCUCCUUUGGGGAUGCCGAGUCCCGUGAGUCUCGGACCCUCAGGAGAGAGGCCCAGGCGAACCGUGCCUGGCACGGUGACCCUAGGUGCUGCACCCCUUCCCUCCGUGCUCUGCCUUUUCGCCCUGGGGAAACUCAUCUGGGCAGCUCCGUUUACAAACUACCGAACAGGGCCAGUAGUGGAGUGGUAAGGCGCUUGCCGGACUCAAUCCCUGUCACCACAGGCCCCUGUCACCUGAGGCGCCACCCGGAAUAAUCCCUGAGCACAGAGCAAGGAGCACAGCUGGGUGUGACCCUGAAAACGACUAACAUCGAAUGGGUGCGUAGCAUCUCGUGUGAUAGAGGAGUGGGGCGGGGAGGAAGGCCAAGGGCAGGUGAGGGCACUCUGUGUCCAGUCCCGGGCUGUCCCCAAGGCCAGGGGCAAACACAGCAGCUCCACGCCGGCGUGUUCCCAUCCUGCACACGCCGCCAGGGCCAGGGCCCCUUAGCCGGGGCCUGCCGCCCUCCCGCAGCUCACACCAACGUGACGGGAUUGACUGUUAGACGCCAAGUUAUCCCCAAGUUAUUCCCCGAGAACCUGACUGCUGCCUGCCGGUGAAAACGCCCAUCUCAGCUCACCCCUUCCCCAGAGACGCCCCACUGAACCCCUCCUGGGGCGCCCUGGCAGGGCCACUGGCCCUGAUGGAGCGCAAUCUGCACCCGGUCUCCCCAGCCAUCCACGCAUACCCCCACUGCGAAGCACGGAUCACGCUUGGGACGCCAGCACCCGGCUCUCGCCCUUCCCCACUCAGCCCCCAGCCCCGUCAGUCACUGGCCAAGAGCAAGCAGUGGGGUUGACUUUCACGCCCUACCCUGGACCGAGCAGCCGAGGACGCCAAGCAAUUCUCUCAUUCACCUUCAUACCCAUUCAACUCAUGUCGAAGAAGUCCUCCAAGGAAAAAAAAUUCUAAUUACCAGCCCCCCCAAGCCCCCCUAAUCAGCAUUACAGGAAAUUCUAUAGCAUUUCUUCACUACAGACUCACAAAGUUAUCCAGUAAUUGUUCUUGGGAAGUUCCUGACCGAGACCUUCACCGCUGAGAAGCUAAGGGUGCACUCUCCUCAAGAACACAGCUCCGAGGGUCUGAGAGGUGGUGCAGUGGGUAGGGCGCUUGCCCUGCAUGCGGCUGAUGGGCUUCACUGCAUAUGAUGCCCCAAAGCCCCUGAGUACUGAGUACUGUGGGCCUCCAAACAAACAGAAACCCCCAAGAGCUUGGAGUCUUCCUUCUACCCCAUCACACUGACAUCUUGGGAUGAGUUUAAAGCCAGGAAUUUUUUAGUGCCCCACUUGGGAACCACAAACAUGAGAAGGUGAUUGAUCUGAAAGCUCUAAAUGGAAGCCAGAAUCCGGCAUCACAAAGCACUGACCGGGCUGGAGCGAUAGCACAGCGGGUAGGGCGUUUGUCUUGCACAUGGCUGACCCGGGUUCGAUUCCCAGCAUCCCAUAUGGUCCCUGAGCACCGCCAGGGGUAAUUCCUGAGUGAAGAGCCAAGAGUAACCCCUGAGCAUCACCGGGUGUGAGCCAAAGAGAGAAAAAAGCAAGCAAGCAAGCAAGCAAGCAAGCACUGACCAGCAAAGCAAUCACCUUCCUGUCUGUGAUGAACUUUUGGAAUUCAACUACACACGUGCCAGGGACGAGCAGGACCAGACCCCAACAGAGCUGCUGUUUCAUGAGUCUUUAAACGUGCCAAAUAGGCACAACAUACGACUGAACUUUUUGAGGGAGGUGGGAGCCUCCAGACAGCGCUAAGGGGGCCUCAAGCAAUUCUUAGCCAGCCGGGCCAGCGGUUUGGUGUGGGGACCUGAGGUUGGGGCCAGGCCUGGCCACACAGAAGGCACGUGCCUUCACUGCUGGACUCUCUCUGCCCCCAAAGCUGAACAUCUUGAUGGACUGUAUUUUUACAUCACGAAAAAUGUUGAAAUAAUGGAAAGUAUCAUGUUAAGGGAAAUGAGUCGGAGAGAGAGGGAGAGAUAUAGAAGAUUGCACUCAUCUGUGGAAUAUAAAGUAAGAGAAUGGGAGAAUAACACCCAAGAAUAGUAGAGAUAAGUACCAGGAGGUUUGCUUCAUGGCUUGGAAGCCGGCCUCACAUGCUGGGGGAAAGGCAGCUCAGAUAGAGAAGGGACCACCAAGUAAAGGGUGGUUGGAGGACCAGCUCGGGUUGAGAGAUGCGAGUCCAACGUAGACUAUAGAUUGGACACAAUG